RNAcentral lists this ribosomal RNA (253 nucleotides) under uncultured bacterium. RNAcentral describes it as "partial 16S ribosomal RNA". It matches the Rfam family "Bacterial small subunit ribosomal RNA", at positions 524 to 776 of the family's 1533-position model. The record is from RNAcentral.
GACGAACCACACGAACGUUAUUCGGAAUUACUGGGCUUAAAGGGUGCGUAGGCUGUGCGGAAAGUUGGGUGUGAAAUACCUUAGCUUAACUAAGGAACUGCGCUCAAAACUACCGUGCUUGAGGGAGACAGGGGUAAGCGGAACUUAGGGUGGAGCGGUGAAAUGCGUUGAUAUCCUAAGGAACACCGGUGGCGAAAGCGGCUUACUGGGUCUCUUCUGACGCUGAGGCACGAAAGCUAGGGUAGCGAGCGGG